AAAAUACUAUAUUAUGUACAUUACAAUAUUAAAUAUUUUUUUAAAAAAAUUUAAUUUUAUACAGAUCCUUAUAAAAAUAUCAAAAAAAAGAUAAAUCUUUACAAAACUCAAAUUAUUAGAUUUAUAUCCCUUCAAAAAUCUCCGACUUGCAAAUAUAUUCCUCCAAAAAUUCUGGUCCGUUUAUAUAUGUUCAUACCGUUUGAUUCACCGUUAAUUUUUUAAUAGUAGGUGCGUAUUAUAAAGUUGUUUACGCAAAAAGUUAUCUUUCUUUCUCUCUCUCCUCGACUUCGUCGCGGCACGUGCAGCGUAUCUUAUUUUUGCCACGACCGAGGGCCUCGUAUUCAGCGUAGCCGCCGACAUAGGUCCUGCCGUCGCCAUGGAUAAAGAGAUGAGAAUGAGAAAAAUGACGGAAUUCAAUAUUAGAAUACAAAUUAUAUAUGUAUAUGUGGGGUAACAAAGUCAUUUCGCUCUUUAGCUAACUGUGAUUAGCUUUUUUAACUCGUGAUUAUCUAAAUUUUGGUUACAGAAGGAUAUACCUGCAAACCAGAGAGCUUUUGGAGGGAUAAAUUGAUAACUUCAGUUAUGUAUAUUUAUUAUUUGAUACUUUUAUAAGGUGUCAUAUGCAAUUAUCCCUCUAUUAUCUGAUACUUGUCACUUGUGUAAAAUUUUUUGUGCCACCCACAAAUUAUGGGGCUUUCUAGGGGCCUUUGUGUAAAAACCCUUUGUUCUUUCUCUACAGUGCAAUUUGUACUAUCUACAUAGGGAGAGGAAUAGAAGAUAGAGUGGUGUUUUGAUUGAUGUGGUUAUGAUUGGGCUACACAAAGGUUCCAUUCACAUUUCACACUGUUGUUGAGUGACAUACAUGUAUCACAGUUACACCAAAGGGGUUACACCAUAGGGAACUCCAAUGUAUUAUGAUUGCAUGAUUUGAUUGAUUGAUUGGUUUUGAAGGUUUAGAUUGAUUGAUAGAUAGAUUGAGGGAGAGGUACCAAAUUGGUUAUUAUUAUUUAGGUUAGUUAAGUAUUUGGAAAAUGCUUUGCACAUAGGAGUUAAUGUUGACAAAACUAGUAUUAAUUUUGUCUCAAAUGUAGUGUAGUUGGAGAUACAUGGAGUUGGAAGUACAGCAGUUGUAACUACAUGCAUUCUGUUUGGUUGGAUAUAGUAGAAAGGCAUUGCAACUAUAAAUAAUUUGUUUGGUUUCAUAUAGUUGGGAAAUGAUUUUUAAAAUUUUAUUAUUUUGUAUAUAUGAUGGUGAGAUUAUCUCCAAUAUAAAAAAGAAAAAUAUUUUUUAUUUAAAAAAUAAUUAAGGAUGUAAGCAUAUAUUUUUGUUUAAAUUUACUUUUUGCAACUGCUGCUGUAGUCGGAACUAUGGUCAAUUUGGGCGUAGUUCAAACUGCUGCAAUUGUGCCUCCUUUUUGUAGUUUCUACUGCAAGAGUUUAAGUUAAAUAUAUCAAACCAAACAUCGAAUUUGCAUUUCUAUACAGUUACAACUGUCGUGCAGUUGUAAUUAUAUGCAAUCAAAUGGCACCUAAAA
Molecule: long non-coding RNA, 1535 nt
Filed under: Ananas comosus (pineapple)
Lineage: Eukaryota; Viridiplantae; Streptophyta; Magnoliopsida; Poales; Bromeliaceae
Description: long non-coding RNA (ACOM_LNC023682)
Source: RNAcentral